Molecule: non-coding RNA, 871 nt
Organism: Hydra vulgaris (swiftwater hydra)
Lineage: Eukaryota; Metazoa; Cnidaria; Hydrozoa; Anthoathecata; Hydridae
Source: RefSeq, a predicted model, not a curated record
CUAUGUUUUAAAUGGCUUCACUUAAAUAUUAUCCAUAUCUUGAGACCACUUUUGAGAAAAAAUCUUGAAGCGGGAACGUUUUUUUAAAACGAAGCUUUUGGAGGUAAGGAUUCCGAAGUACCAAAACAAAUCCAAUUUUUAUAAAACUUUCCGUAUAUAUUAAAAAAAGGUUGAGGAAUCUAAUGGAAUGUGAACACUUUUUAACAUUUAUACAUAAAUUUUUAGUUCUCAGUGUUUAAAAACUUCAAGGUUAAUUAUUAUAGAAAAAAAAGUGAUUUUUGAAAGUGUUCAAGUGGAAAUGGCAAAUUCAGCCUUUCCUCUUUUUAAAACAAGUGUUUAAUUAUGUUUUCUUAAAAAAUAGGUGCUUCGGAUUUGUAUAUUAGAAUUCUGUAUAUAUACAUCUAUAUUUCUUCGCGUAUUUUAUGACGUUUUUUGUUUUGAUUUUGCAAUUCCGAAAUUUUAACUACAAAUAAAAUUGAAAAUGAAAGUAUAUUCCUUAUUAAUGACUUAAGUUUUCAAGGCAAUAAAAAUAAAGAUUUUAUAUUUUUAAAGGUAUUUUUUCUGGAUUGCUCAACUACAAGCUUGAUUCUCACUGUUUCUACUACUGUUUUUAGUCUGUAGAUUCUUUAAACUGUUUUUUUCAAAACAAAAAGAAAUAAUAAUCAACUAAACUUUUAGUCUAAAGUUUACAAAAUGGAAAUGUGCUGUGAACUUAACAAUCUACGUGAAAUGGUGGUUCAAUCUAUAAGUCAAGAAUCUACCAAAGUGUUGUCUGAAAUAGCAACCUGCAAGAAUAUUUUGGAUUUUCUGGAUAUAAAUGAUGGCAUUAUUUCUCUCAAAUAUCCUGAUUUUGUGUUAACCAAUAGCCAUU